This 440-nucleotide ribosomal RNA is filed under the name uncultured bacterium. RNAcentral's name for it is "partial 16S ribosomal RNA". It matches the Rfam family "Bacterial small subunit ribosomal RNA", at positions 338 to 795 of the family's 1533-position model. The record is from RNAcentral.
CCUACGGGAGGCAGCAGUAGGGAAUAUUGCUCAAUGGGGGAAACCCUGAUGCAGCAACGCCGCGUGGAGGAUGAAGGUUUUCGGAAUGUAAACCCCUUUUAUUAGAGAAGAAAAUGACGGUAUCUAACGAAUAAGCACCGGCUAACUCCGUGCCAGCAGCCGCGGUAAUACGGAGGGGGCAAGCGUUACCCGGAAUCACUGGGUGUAAAGAGCGCGUAGGCGGGAUAGCAAGUCAGAUGUGAAAUCCCAGGGCUGAACCCUAGAACUGCAUUUGAAACUGUUAUUCUAGAGUAUGGGAGGGGUAGGCGGAAUUCGUGGUGUAGCGGUGAAAUGCGUAGAGAUCAGGAGGAAUACUCAUUGCGAAGGCGACCUGCUGGAACAUAACUGACGCUGAGGCGCGAAAGCGUGGGGAGCAAACAGGAUUAGAUACCCCAGUAGUC